GUUGUAAAUAAUUGAUUGAAAUGGAAAAUAUUAAGAAGAAGCGUGUGGUCACAAAAACACAAAAAAGUGGGCAGAAGAAGAAAACAACUCUUUAAUGAAUUUUCUUUUGGAAAACGUUGAUAUUGAGAAGCCAACCAGUGUAAUUUAUUACAAUAAAUGUUAAAAAAAAAACUACGUUAGAGGCAAAUGCUUAAAUGUUGAGGUGUAUAGUUCGGAAUCGGAAAGAAAUCAACAGGCGCAGGACUUGAUAUUGGAGACGCAUGUUUCAUAGUAAAAUUUAAUAAGGUGAAUUAUUUUAGAAACCGCAAAUGUGUCCACAUUAUGACAGACUCGUGGAGCUUUAUUUUAAUAAACAGAACUCAAAUAUCGUCGUUGAAUCAUCAUCAUUGAACGUGGAUGUUGAAUUUGAGCAAUAUAUGCACUAUAUUGAUACAAUUAAAGAUUUACCUUCAACAGCAUUAACACUACUUCCUAUACCAGUUCAUUUUACCUCAUCUGAGCCAGUACGACCUCCAGACAUCGACUCGAUGGAAGCCGAGUUAAUAUGUGAGCCAGCACUUUCACAGUCAAAAGUAUCAACUCCUCGCUCUCAACGAUCUCUUGGAAAAAAAUUUAAAACUCGUACGUUAAAAGCAGUCUAAGCGAACUUUGCUAACAUCCAAUAAAAAAGAGAUUCUUAUUAUGAAAUGCACGAGAGCAUAGAACAACAAAAAGUUGAUAAUGAAAUAACCCGGUUAAAGCUAGAAAAACAAAAGUUGGCUCUGGCUCAAGAACAAAAAGAACGACUUGCUGUCUUAUAGCUUAAAUAAAAAUAUAUUGGUUUGUC
Long non-coding RNA from Bactrocera neohumeralis, 826 nucleotides. RefSeq lists it as uncharacterized. The transcript has 3 exons. The record is from RefSeq and is a predicted model, not a curated record. NCBI's taxonomy places the organism in Eukaryota, Metazoa, Arthropoda, Insecta, Diptera, Tephritidae.